Culex quinquefasciatus (southern house mosquito) is the source of this 354-nucleotide long non-coding RNA. RefSeq lists it as uncharacterized. NCBI's taxonomy places the organism in Eukaryota, Metazoa, Arthropoda, Insecta, Diptera, Culicidae. The record is from RefSeq and is a predicted model, not a curated record. The transcript has 3 exons.
AGGAUUCGGGAGAGGAGUUUGUGGGCCGGGUGAACAACAAGUAGACGGACACAAAUUCGAACCACACGCGGAUAAAUCCGGGUGGUGAUUCACGGAGGGAGGACAAGACGGUUUAGGACGACACAGGACAGAACCGCUGUCUUUGUACGAGUAAGUUCGAAACAGAUAAACAUGAAAAAUAUAACAAAAACAUGCAAAAUCUGUACAAACAUGUAAAACCGAUCACGCUGUUAAACAUAACCUAAAAUUACAGCUACAGCACAAACGUAGAACACAAAUCCGGAUCGGGUUGGACGGAAAACAGGAAACAAACAAAUUCUUUGAUCUGCCUCGAAUAAAUUGGGCUGAUUCGCA